UCGAACGAUAUCCUGGGCGUCCAAGUAGCAAUAUGAGGACGUCCUGGUGACAGUGGCGAAAGGGUGAGUAACGCGCGGGUAAUCUGCCCUCAAGUUGGGGAUAGCUCUGCGAAAGCGGAAUUAAUACCGAAUGUGGUCGUCCUUCUUAUGAAGGAUUAUCCAAAGCUGGGGACCGCAAGGCCUGGCGCUUGAGGUUGAGCCCACGUACUAUCAGCUUGUUGGCGAGGUGACGGCUCACCAAGGCGAUGACGGUUAGCUGGUCUGAGAGGAUGGUCAGCCACACUGGGACUGAGACACUGCCCAGACUCCUACGGGAGGCUGCAGUCGAGGAUCAUUCGCAAUGCGCGAAAGCGUGACGGUGCGACGCCGCGUGCAGGAUGAAAGCCUUCGGGUCGUAAACUGCUGUCAUGAGGGAACAAUGUCCGGGACGUUAAUAACGUACCGGGGUGAUAGUACCUCAGGAGGAAGCCACGGCUAACUCUGUGCCAGCAGCCGCGGUAAUACAGAGGCGGCGAGCGUUGUUCGGAUUUACUGGGCGUAAAGGGUGCGUAGGCGGUUCUGUGUGUCGGACGUGAAAUCUCACGGCUCAACUGUGGAAUUGCAUUUGAUACUACAGAGCUGGAGUACAGGAGAGGAGAGCG
RNAcentral lists this ribosomal RNA (641 nucleotides) under uncultured bacterium. Its description in RNAcentral is "bacterial SSU rRNA". It matches the Rfam family "Bacterial small subunit ribosomal RNA", at positions 62 to 663 of the family's 1533-position model. The record is from RNAcentral.